UGAACGCUGGCGGCGUGCUUAACACAUGCAAGUCGAACGAGAAAGGGAUUGCUUGCAAUCCUGAGUAGAGUGGCGCACGGGUGAGUAACACGUAGAUAAUCUACCUUCAAGCCUGGAAUAACUAUUCGAAAGGAUAGCUAAUACCGGAUGAAGUUGUUCAACUCAAGUUGAAUUAUGAAAGAUUGCCUCUUCUUGAAAGCAAUUGUUUGGAGAUGAGUUUGCGGACCAUUAGUUUGUUGGUGGGGUAAAGGCCUACCAAGACUACGAUGGUUAGCUGGUCUGAGAGGAUGAUCAGCCACACUGGAACUGGUACACGGUCCAGACUCCUACGGGAGGCAGCAGUGAGGAAUUUUGCGCAAUGGGGGAAACCCUGACGCAGCAACGCCGCGUGAGUGAAGAAGGCCCUUGGGUCGUAAAGCUCUGUCGACAGGGAAGAAGUUACAUCAUAUUAAUAGUAUGUCGUAUUGACGGUACCUGUAGAGGAAGCACCGGCUAACUCC
This 500-nucleotide ribosomal RNA is filed under the name uncultured bacterium. RNAcentral's name for it is "bacterial SSU rRNA". It matches the Rfam family "Bacterial small subunit ribosomal RNA", at positions 30 to 504 of the family's 1533-position model. The record is from RNAcentral.